AUUGAACGCUGGCGGCAUGCCUUACACAUGCAAGUCGAACGGUAACAGGUUAAGCUGACGAGUGGCGAACGGGUGAGUAAUGUAUCGGAACGUGCCCAAUCGUGGGGGAUAACUACUCGAAAGAGUAGCUAAUACCGCAUAAGAUCUACGGAUGAAAGCGGGGGAUCGCAAGACCUCGCGCGAGUGGAGCGGCCGAUGUCAGAUUAGGUAGUUGGUGGGGUAAAAGCCCACCAAGCCAACGAUCUGUAGCUGGUCUGAGAGGACGACCAGCCACACUGGGACGGAGACACGGCCCAGACUCCUACGGGAGGCAGCAGUGGGGAAUUUUGGACAAUGGGCGCAAGCCUGAUCCAGCAAUGCCGCGUGCAGGAUGAAGGCCUUCGGGUUGUAAACUGCUUUUGUACGGAACGAAAAGAUUUGGGCUAAUACCCCGAAUCCAUGACGGUACCGUAAGAAUAAGCACCGGCUAACUACGUGCCAGCAGCCGCCGUAA
RNAcentral lists this ribosomal RNA (493 nucleotides) under uncultured bacterium. RNAcentral describes it as "partial 16S ribosomal RNA". It matches the Rfam family "Bacterial small subunit ribosomal RNA", at positions 30 to 523 of the family's 1533-position model. The record is from RNAcentral.